GAUGAACGCUGGCGGCGUGCCUAAUACAUGCAAGUCGAGCGAACGGACGAGAGGCUUGCUUCUCUGAUGUUAGCGGCGGACGGGUGAGUAACACGUGGAUAACCUACCUAUAAGACUGGGGUAACUUCGGGAAACCGGAGCUAAUACCGGAUAAUAUUUUGAACCGCAUGGUUCAAAAGUGAAAGACGGUCUUGCUGUCACUUAUAGAUGGAUCCGCGCUGCAUUAGCUAGUUGGUAAGGUAACGGCUUACCAAGGCAACGAUGCAUAGCCGACCUGAGAGGGUGAUCGGCCACACUGGAACUGAGACACGGUCCAGACUCCUACGGGAGGCAGCAGUAGGGAAUCUUCCGCAAUGGGCGAAAGCCUGACGGAGCAACGCCGCGUGAGUGAUGAAGGUCUUCGGAUCGUAAAACUCUGUUAUUAGGGAAGAACAUAUGUGUAAGUAACUGUGCACAUCUUGACGGUACCUAAUCAGAAAGCCACGGCUAACUACGUG
RNAcentral lists this ribosomal RNA (497 nucleotides) under uncultured bacterium. RNAcentral's name for it is "partial 16S ribosomal RNA". It matches the Rfam family "Bacterial small subunit ribosomal RNA", at positions 28 to 507 of the family's 1533-position model. The record is from RNAcentral.